CAGCCGCCGCGGUAAUACGUAGGUGGCAAGCGUUGUCCGGAAUUAUUGGGCGUAAAGGGCUCGCAGGCGGUUUCUUGAGUCUGAUGUGAAAGCCCCCGGCUCAACCGGGGAGGGUCAUUGGAAACUGGGAAACUUGAGUGCAGAAGAGGAGAGUGGAAUUCCACGUGUAGCGGUGAAAUGCGUAGAGAUGUGGAGGAACACCAGUGGCGAAGGCGACUCUCUGGUCUGUAACUGACGCUGAGGAGCGAAAGCGUGGGGAGCGAACAGGAUUAGAGACCCCUGUAGUCCCUGUCUCUUAUAC
Molecule: ribosomal RNA, 301 nt
Filed under: uncultured bacterium
Lineage: Bacteria
Description: partial 16S ribosomal RNA
Rfam family: Bacterial small subunit ribosomal RNA
Source: RNAcentral